UACCCAUGGUGACAGCCGCUUUGACAACGCAUCCAGUAGAGGGCGCUUUCUGUGUCUCAACUCAUUUUCUGACCCCACACCUAGAAUUUCCUGUGCCUCUCAAACUAACCGCUUGUUCUCAAGCGGUUUCAGGGUCUGCUUCUAGGAGGACCCGAAGUACAUCAGAACCCUUAGGGGUUCUUCUGUAUUUUACGUCAUCAUAAGCCAUUCUGAACCCUAAGAAAAUGGGUCGCUAUACUUAAUGUCUUAGGAGUGAAAGCGUGGUUCAGUGAUGCUUUAACUUCUGCGUCAUCAGGAGUUCUCUGAGGUUGUUGAAAGUUAAUCUCCUACUGUGUCCCAGGACCUUAGCAAGAUGUGGAAGAGAAUACAUACCAAAGAUUCUCCUGAGGAAAAGCUGUACUCUGCAGGGAUUUACAUAGUGAGGCUCACCGGGCUGUGAACAUUUGGGACAUGAUGACGUGAACAUUAUAUUAUAUUCUUUUCUCUUUCAGGCUUAGGCAUUUAUUGCUCUCCCUGAGAAGACUGGCUUUCCUCAGGUGAAGAACACGUGUGGAUGGGCGAGUCUGAAAGCCAUUUUUAUCUCCUUGGAAGGCAUUUUCAUUCCGUCGUUCAACAAAGAGAGCACGUCACAGCAGAAAAUACCACAUCUGGGUGAAAUGGAGUGCCAGCAACAGGCCUUAUGGGCUUGCCGGCAGCCUGAUCUUCCAAAGACAUUUUCUCAAUUGAGGUUCCUUCUUUCUCUUCCGACUUUAGUUUGUGCCAAGCUGACAUAAAGCUAGCCAGCGUGUGUUGGUUUGCAAGCCCUUCCUUGUUUACAUAAUUAAUCUAGAAAUUAUUCUGGAUGUGACUGAGUAUUUUGAUGAACAUAAGAGAAAAACUCUGUGAGUCAUGGGCACCUAGAAUUGUCCUUUUUUCCUGGGGGUUGGGCUUAGGGGAAGACUUGGAAGGUGAAAGGGACCAAACAAGCCAGAGCUCAGAGGCCACUGCUAGAGAAAGGACACAACUUCAGGACCAUCCUGGUCUCAUUAUGGAGCACAGCUCUGUUUCCAUCAGGUUCCCAGAGGCUAUCACAUCUCCAAGAGAUAAGGGCUUUAGCCCCACCUCUAAGGACCGGGGAGAAAGGUUCAUACUGGUUUACUGUUAGUUCCUUAUUCUUAGUAAUAAAUGUUGAAUGUAUAUUCAUCUUGUUGAGUCACAAAAGCAACUUUCCCCGUUAGGUCACGUCAUUCUGCAGGUUUUGUGGAUAAGGAGAUGGACCUGCACAGAUAAAGAAAUUUUGGAGGUCAUCAUGCUUAAAGUGACAUUCUUGAGAUCUCUCAGUGGGUAAGAACAUUUGCUACUCUGGCAAAAGACCCAGGUUCAAAUCCCAAUGCUCACCUGGGGAUUCAUAACCACCUCUAACUCCAGUUUCAGGGAGAUCAAUGUCCCUUCUGGUUUCUGUGGGUACUGCAUGGACAUGGUAUGGUUACAUACAGGCAGAUAAAACAUUCAUAUGCAUAAACACACAAACACAA
RNAcentral lists this small RNA (1514 nucleotides) under Rattus norvegicus (Norway rat). RNAcentral describes it as "uncharacterized LOC102546554". Lineage: Eukaryota; Metazoa; Chordata; Mammalia; Rodentia; Muridae. The record is from RNAcentral.